RNAcentral lists this ribosomal RNA (496 nucleotides) under uncultured bacterium. RNAcentral's name for it is "partial 16S ribosomal RNA". It matches the Rfam family "Bacterial small subunit ribosomal RNA", at positions 29 to 507 of the family's 1533-position model. The record is from RNAcentral.
AUGAACGCUGGCGGCGUGCCUAAUACAUGCCAGUCGAGCGAACGGACGAGAAGCUUGCUUCUCUGAUGUUAGCGGCGGACGGGUGAGUAACACGUGGAUAACCUACCUAUAAGACUGGGAUAACUUCGGGAAACCGGAUCUAAUACCGGAUGAUAUUUUGAACCGCAUGGUUCAAAAGUGAAAGACGGUCUUGCUGUCACUUAUAGAUGGAUCCGCGCUGCAUUAGCUAGUUGGUAAGGUAACGGCUUACCAAGGCAACGAUGCAUAGCCGACCUGAGAGGGUGAUCGGCCACACUGGAACUGAGACACGGUCCAGACUCCUACGGGAGGCAGCAGUAGGGAAUCUUCCGCAAUGGGCGAAGGCCUGACGGAGCAACGCCGCGUGAGUGAUGAAGGUCUUCGGAUCGUAAAACUCUGUUAUUAGGGAAGAACAUAUGUGUAAGUAACUGUGUACAUCUUGACGGUACCUAAUCAGAAAGCCACGGCUAACUACGUG